GACCUCGGAUCAGGUAGGGAUACNCGCUGAACUUAA
This 36-nucleotide ribosomal RNA is filed under the name Lecidella euphorea. RNAcentral describes it as "partial 28S ribosomal RNA". The record is from RNAcentral. Lineage: Eukaryota; Fungi; Ascomycota; Lecanoromycetes; Lecanorales; Lecanoraceae.